Molecule: non-coding RNA, 237 nt
Organism: Delphinapterus leucas (beluga whale)
Lineage: Eukaryota; Metazoa; Chordata; Mammalia; Artiodactyla; Monodontidae
Source: RefSeq, a predicted model, not a curated record
GCUGCGGGAGCAGCGUGGGACUCUGAGCAUAAGCUGCUGGAGGUGGGCGACUCCCAGGCAGAACAAAGCCUCUUCUAGAGGGACAGGCGGGUUUUGCAAGCGGGUUGCUCUCAGAAGGUGUUUCCAUGGAUUCCACUUGGUGCCCCGCCCAUCACCGGACAGCCUCGCCAGUCUUUCCUGCCUUGUGAGCCCGUGAGCCACAACGACUGAAGCCCCUGUGCCACAACUACUGAAGCC